This 473-nucleotide ribosomal RNA is filed under the name uncultured bacterium. RNAcentral describes it as "bacterial SSU rRNA". It matches the Rfam family "Bacterial small subunit ribosomal RNA", at positions 29 to 506 of the family's 1533-position model. The record is from RNAcentral.
ACGAACGCUGGCGGCGUGCUUAAUGCAUGCAAGUCGCACGAGGCCCCAUCGACGGGCAACCGUCGAGGGGUCCUAGUGGCGAACGGGUGAGUAACACGUGAGGAACCUGCCCCGGAGUCCGGAACAGCCCAGGGAAACUUGGAUUAAUGCCGGAUACCCUCGAUCGGUCGCAUGUCUGGUCGAGGAAAGGUCCGCCGCUCCGGGAUGGCCUCGCGGCCUAUCAGCUUGUUGGUGAGGUAACGGCUCACCAAGGCUACGACGGGUAGCUGGUCUGAGAGGACGAUCAGCCACACUGGGACUGAGACACGGCCCAGACUCCUACGGGAGGCAGCAGCAGGGAAUAUUGCACAAUGGGCGAAAGCCUGAUGCAGCGACGCCGCGUGAGGGAUGAAGGCCUCCGGGUUGUAAACCUCUUUCAGGAGGGACGAAGCGCAAGUGACGGUACCUCCAGAAGAAGCCCCGGCCAACUACGU